RNAcentral lists this ribosomal RNA (497 nucleotides) under uncultured bacterium. RNAcentral's name for it is "partial 16S ribosomal RNA". It matches the Rfam family "Bacterial small subunit ribosomal RNA", at positions 28 to 507 of the family's 1533-position model. The record is from RNAcentral.
GAUGAACGCUGGCGGCGUGCCUAAUACAUGCAAGUCGAGCGAACGGACGAGAAGCUUGCUUCUCUGAUGUUAGCGGCGGACGGGUAAGUAACACGUGGAUAACCUACCUAUAAGACUGGGAUAACUUCGGGAAACAGGAGAUAAUAACGGAUAAUAUUUUGAACCGCAUGGUUCAAAAGUGAAAGACGGUCUUGCUGUCACUUAUAGAUGGAUCCGCGCUGCAUUAGCUAGUUGGUAAGGUAACGGCUUACCAAGGCAACGAUGCAUAGCCGACCUGAGAGGGUGAUCGGCCACACUGGAACUGAGACACGGUCCAGACUCCUACGGGAGGCAGCAGUAGGGAAUCUUCCGCAAUGGGCGAAAGCCUGACGGAGCAACGCCGCGUGAGUGAUGAAGGUCUUCGGAUCGUAAAACUCUGUUAUUAGGGAAGAACAUAUGUGUAAGUAUCUGUGCACAUCUUGACGGUACCUAAUCAGAAAGCCACGGCUAACUACGUG